GACUUUGAGGGUGAUCUGUCUGUGACAUAUGUCACCCCACUGCUUGCCAGGGUUGGUUGAUUUAGCUGAUCUGGCUGUCUGAGUAUCCUCUUCCUCCCUCACCACUCCAUGUGCCUGCAUUUAUCUGGAAGCUGAAGGAUCAGUGGAAGAGGACCAGAACAACAUUCCCUGCAUAGAGGAGAGCCAGGCUACUAUCCCCUGCUAGGAAAUCCUAACAUGCUCUCAAGAAAGAUAUUUGUGUCUACAAUCUGGGGUACUGUCCAUCUGU
RNAcentral lists this small nuclear RNA (268 nucleotides) under Meriones unguiculatus (Mongolian gerbil). RNAcentral's name for it is "7SK RNA (ENSMUGG00000006226.1)". It matches the Rfam family "7SK RNA", at positions 1 to 280 of the family's 331-position model. Rfam says of the family: 7SK was discovered as an abundant small nuclear RNA in the mid-70s but a possible function has only recently been suggested. The record is from RNAcentral. Lineage: Eukaryota; Metazoa; Chordata; Mammalia; Rodentia; Muridae.